GUUACUGGUUCUGUUUCAGGAAUGACAGGUUGAGCCACCUGCACUAUUGCAGCGUCAACAACUGAAGGCUCCACUGGUGGAGUCUCAAUGACCGGUGCUUCUUCAGUGACCCGGGCUGGGACUUCCACCUCAACUUCAGCUGAAGUCUGUUCCAACACCACAGCCUCAGGCUGUAGCAAAGACUGUGGCACCUCUACCUCAACUGGGACGGGCUCUGCGACUGGUUCUUUCACAACUGGUUCUGGUUCUAUCACAACUGGUUCUGGUUCUUUCACAACUGGUUCUGGUUCUAUCACCACUGGUUCUGGUUCUUUCACAACUGGUUCUGGUUCUAUCACAACUGGUUCUGGUUCUUUCACAACUGGUUCUGGUUCUAUCACCACUGGUUCUGGUUCUUUCACAACUGGUUCUGGUUCUUUCACAACUGGUUUUGGUUCUACUCUGGGGGUCUCCACAACGGGGACAGCAAUGCGAACGGCCUCUGGGAUCUUUUUUGGAGCUGGAGCUGGAGUUUUAGCUUUCUUUGGGGCUGCAGCAGGGGGCGCACUCACUGCAAUCCCGGGGCUCGUUUUGACUGGCGGAUUGGCUGAAUGUUGCUCUUCAAGGGCUCUCCUCUGGGCCUGCUGCAAGAGAGAAAAGAUAUAAGUUAAUGGUUGUUGUCAUUACAUGAAUACCAGACAUGCCAUCCCAGCCACAUCCAACAUGUUUUUCAGCAGUGGACAAAAUCCCCUCAGGCUUUAAUGGAGGUUUUAGGAGCCCAGACUCCUGGAGGGAGGGGCUGGGUAACUGGGAAUAGGCCCAGCAAAGCUAGUUAGAUAAUGGGAGCUAAUUAGUUGAAUCGGAGUGGUCCUGACAGGUCUGGUGAAGCGGGAAUGGAAACCGUGCGAGUCAGCAGCACUGAUGGGUGCCCCACGGGCCAGACAGUGGGCAUAAUCACAUUAUAAUCAGGUUAUAAUCAGGUUACAAUCACUUGACAAGAAUGCUUUUGUUAGGCCCACUGCCGGUUAGGCAUUCACAGUGCUAGACCAAUGCUGUAUGCCAACAAGGCAUGAGUGUGUAAGUACAUAUGUCUACACUCAUCCACCUAGCCACCGUCAAAACAACCUCUUCCUUAUCUUUGCCUGCAUACAACUUGCUUUCUAAAACUCCACACCUCACUACCACAGAGUAAUAUACAAGUUCAAUUAAUCAAAGCAAUUCCUUGUGUUCCUCGGGCUGUAUUAAGGAGGCCAAGCCACCCUUGGGGAGAAAUUCUUUUUAUCAAAGUUUGGGUGCUUACAUACAAAGGCAUGCGUGGCCAAAGAGGAGCCCUCAGCUUGACGACUUCAAGUGUCCAGCUGCUCCUUCCCCUCUCUGCUCUGAUGUCUCUGAGGGAAUUGGUGAUAACACAGAGCUGUAAGUGACUCCUAGGCCCAUUUUUAUCUGUGUGUCACUGGCAGACUCAGAAUCAGAGAUUGUGCAGACUCCAAUCUGGCAAAACUAAUGCAAGACAUUCCUCCAGUCAACACACUACCAAAUACAGUUGUGUGGUGCUGAGAGUCAUGGACUGGCCAGCCAGCGAGAGGCAGGAGGGGCUGUGGAACAAUGCCAUAAACUCCAUACCUAGAAGUCUUCCCAGAGCUGGAGGACCAGGCUUCAAGUCAGCCUUUAGUGGUGAAGUAAGUAAUCAAUUUUAAAUUAGAAAUUAUAAUAAAGCAGGGUGACAAUUAUGAUUGGGAAAGAAAUUACAGAAAACAGUGUUUGGUGAUGGAGUAACCUUUGCCCUCUGAGAAAUUGGAGCUUCUGUGCUACUUGCUCACUCAUUAUACAUCCCUCCCCUUCCUGCCCCUCUCUGCCACACCCACUUCUUCUCUUUGAGCACUGAAUGUUCAGAAGUAGAAAUAAUUGCCAAAAGUGAGAUAAUAGUCAAUUAUCAUGUCAUGGCAGCUUCAGAAUAUUGAAUUAUGUAAUUUGUAUAGUGCAUGCUAAGUGAAUCUAUAUUUAGGAAUGUGGAAGGAUAUAUUUUCACGUUUAAUGACUAUGAACACAUAAAUAUAAUUAACCUGAAAUUACCAUCCCAGAAUUGACCCUUUUAGCUUGCUUUCCCAGCGCAUGUACACUGAGAGCGCAUGAGAGUUAAGCCAAGAAGUUUAUUUGUCUCUUGCAUCCAUGGCAAAGCCAGAUGCAUCUGAAGUGUCGUGCUACUAAAAAUGACUGCAUGAUUUCGAUCAAAUAAAAACAAAUUGUGCAGCCUUCUAUCUUUGCUGAUUUACGCACGGAGCCUGGAGUCCCUCGGAGUCGUGAGCGUCACAAGAAAAACAAGUGUGAAUGUGCUGUCAAAUAAGUAAUCAUUGACAUCAACAGAAUCACAAACCCAUGUGCCAAUUAAAAGGAAACAAAAAUGUU
Molecule: long non-coding RNA, 2385 nt
Organism: Micropterus dolomieu (smallmouth bass)
Lineage: Eukaryota; Metazoa; Chordata; Actinopteri; Centrarchiformes; Centrarchidae
Exons: 2
Source: RefSeq, a predicted model, not a curated record